Molecule: ribosomal RNA, 497 nt
Filed under: Metarhizium anisopliae
Lineage: Eukaryota; Fungi; Ascomycota; Sordariomycetes; Hypocreales; Clavicipitaceae
Description: eukaryotic LSU rRNA
Rfam family: 5.8S ribosomal RNA (bases 106-259)
Source: RNAcentral
AGAUUCUCCCAAUUGUUGCUUCGGCGGGACUUCGCGCCCGCCGGGGACCCGAACCUUCUGAAUUUUUUAAUAAGUAUCUUCUGAGUGGUUAAAAAAAUGAAUCAAAACUUUCAACAACGGAUCUCUUGGUUCUGGCAUCGAUGAAGAACGCAGCGAAAUGCGAUAAGUAAUGUGAAUUGCAGAAUUCAGUGAAUCAUCGAAUCUUUGAACGCACAUUGCGCCCGUCAGUAUUCUGGCGGGCAUGCCUGUUCGAGCGUCAUUACGCCCCUCAAGUCCCCUGUGGACUUGGUGUUGGGGAUCGGCGAGGCUGGUUUUCCAGCACAGCCGUCCCUUAAAUUAAUUGGCGGUCUCGCCGUGGCCUCCUCUGCGCAGUAGUAAAACACUCGCAACAGGAGCCCGGCGCGGUCCACUGCCGUAAAACCCCCCAACUUUUUAUAGUUGACCUCGAAUCAGGUAGGACUACCCGCUGAACUUAAGCAUAUCAAUAACGGAGGAAA